AACGCACAUUGCGCCCCCUGGUAUUCCGGGGGGCAUGCCUGUCCGAGCGUCAUUGCAACCCUCAAGCGCGGCUUGUGUGUUGGGCCUCGUCCCGCGCGGACGGACCCGAAAGGCAGUGGCGGCGUCCCGACAUGGUGCCCGAGCGUAUGGGAACUCUCUUCCGCUCGAACCGGUCCAUGCGGCGCUGGCCUCGACCGAAUCUUUUACCGGUUGACCUCGGAUCAGGUAGGGAUACCCGCUGAACUUAA
Molecule: unclassified non-coding RNA, 248 nt
Filed under: uncultured Onygenales
Lineage: Eukaryota; Fungi; Ascomycota; Eurotiomycetes; Onygenales
Description: sequence contains 5.8S rRNA gene, ITS2, 28S rRNA gene
Rfam family: 5.8S ribosomal RNA (bases 1-52)
Source: RNAcentral